AGAGUUUGAUCAUGGCUCAGAACGAACACUGGCGGCAGGCUUAACACAUGCAAGUCGAACGCGUGUAGCAAUACACGAGUGGCGCACGGGUGAGUAACGCGUGGAUAUCUGCCUUUUGGUUCGGAAUAACCUUGGGAAACCGAGGCUAAUACCGGAUGGUUCCUACGGGAUAAAGAUUUAUCGCCAAAAGAUGAGUCCGCGUCCGAUUAGCUAGUUGGUGAGGUAACGGCUCACCAAGGCGACGAUCGGUAGCUGGUCUGAGAGGACGAUCAGCCACACUGGGACUGAGACACGGCCCAGACUCCUACGGGAGGCAGCAGUGGGGAAUAUUGGACAAUGGGGGCAACCCUGAUCCAGCCAUGCCGCGUGAGUGAUGAAGGCCUUCGGGUUGUAAAGCUCUUUUGGCGGGGACGAUGAUGACGGUACCCGCAGAAUAAGCCCCGGCUAACUUCGUGCCAGCAGCCGCGGUAAGACGAAGGGGGCUAGCGUUGUUCGGAAUUACUGGGCGUAAAGCGCGUGUAGGCGGUUGUCCAAGUUGGAUGUGAAAGCCUUGAGCUUAACUCAAGAAAUGCAUUCAGGACUGGAUGACUAGAGGACCGGAGAGGAUAGUGGAAUUCCCAGUGUAGUGGUGAAAUACGCAGAGAUUGGGAAGAACACCAGUGGCGAAGGCGGCUAUCUGGACGGUUUCUGACGCUAAGACGCGAAAGCGUGGGGAGCAAACAGGAUUAGAUACCCUAGUAGUCC
Molecule: ribosomal RNA, 744 nt
Filed under: uncultured bacterium
Lineage: Bacteria
Description: bacterial SSU rRNA
Rfam family: Bacterial small subunit ribosomal RNA
Source: RNAcentral